This 506-nucleotide ribosomal RNA is filed under the name uncultured bacterium. Its description in RNAcentral is "partial 16S ribosomal RNA". It matches the Rfam family "Bacterial small subunit ribosomal RNA", at positions 29 to 523 of the family's 1533-position model. The record is from RNAcentral.
AGUGAACGCUGGCGGUAGGCCUAACACAUGCAAGUCGAACGGCAGCACAGGAGAGCUUGCUCUCUGGGUGGCGAGUGGCGGACGGGUGAGGAAUACAUCGGAAUCUACUCUGUCGUGGGGGAUAACGUAGGGAAACUUACGCUAAUACCGCAUACGACCUACGGGUGAAAGCAGGGGACCUUCGGGCCUUGCGCGAUUGAAUGAGCCGAUGACGGAUUAGCUAGUUGGCGGGGUAAAGGCCCACCAAGGCGACGAUCCGUAGCUGGUCUGAGAGGCUGAUCAGCCACACUGGAACUGAGACACGGUCCAGGCUCCUACGGGAGGCAGCAGUGGGGAAUAUUGGACAAUGGGCGCAAGCCUGAUCCAGCCAUACCGCGUGGGUGAAGAAGGCCUUCGGGUUGUAAAGCCCUUUUGUUGGGAAAGAAAUCCAGCUGGCUAAUACCCGGUUGGGAUGACGGUACCCAAAGAAUAAGCACCGGCUAACUUCGUGCCAGCAGCCGCCGUAA